This 253-nucleotide ribosomal RNA is filed under the name uncultured bacterium. Its description in RNAcentral is "partial 16S ribosomal RNA". It matches the Rfam family "Bacterial small subunit ribosomal RNA", at positions 524 to 776 of the family's 1533-position model. The record is from RNAcentral.
UACGUAGGGUGCAGGCGUUAAUCGGAAUUACUGGGCGUAAAGCGUGAGCAGGCGGUCUUUUAAGUCAGAUGUGAAAUCCCCGGGCUUAACCUGGGAACUGCGUUUGAAACUGGAAGGCUAGAGUGUGGCAGAGGGGGGUGGAAUUCCACGUGUAGCAGUGAAAUGCGUAGAUAUGUGGAGGAACACCGAUGGCGAAGGCAGCCCCCUGGGCUAACACUGACGCUCAUGCACGAAAGCGUGGGGAGCAAACAGG